CCUACGGGUGGCUGCAGUGAGGAAUAUUGGUCAAUGGGCGAGAGCCUGAACCAGCCAAGUCGCGUGAGGGAAGACGGUCCUACGGAUUGUAAACCUCUUUUGUCAGGGAGCAAGGAGCGCCACGAGUGGUGCGGCGAGCGUACCUGAAGAAAAAGCAUCGGCUAACUCCGUGCAAGCAGCCGCGGUAAUACGGAGGAUGCGAGCGUGAUCCGGAUUUAUUGGGUUGAAAGGGUGCGCAGGCGGAAGCGGCAAGUCAGCGGGAAAAUUGCGGGGGUAACUCUCGCCGAGCCGUUGAAACUGCUCUUCGAGAGUGGGCGAGAAGUAUGCGGAAUGCGUGGUGUAGCGGUGAAAUGCAUAGAUAUCACGCAGAACUCCGAUUGCGAAGGCAGCAUACCGGAGCCCAACUGACGCUCAUGCACGAAAGCGUGGGUAUCGAACAGGAUUAGAUACCCUUGUAGUC
Molecule: ribosomal RNA, 460 nt
Filed under: uncultured bacterium
Lineage: Bacteria
Description: partial 16S ribosomal RNA
Rfam family: Bacterial small subunit ribosomal RNA
Source: RNAcentral